This 253-nucleotide ribosomal RNA is filed under the name uncultured bacterium. RNAcentral's name for it is "partial 16S ribosomal RNA". It matches the Rfam family "Bacterial small subunit ribosomal RNA", at positions 524 to 776 of the family's 1533-position model. The record is from RNAcentral.
UACGUAGGGCGCAAGCGUUGUCCGGAAUUAUUGGGCGUAAAGAGCUCGUAGGCGGCCUGUUGCGUCCGCUGUGAAAUCCCGGGGCUCAACCCCGGGCGUGCAGUGGAUACGGGCUGGCUGGAGGCAGGCAGGGGAGAACGGAAUUCCUGGUGUAGCGGUGAAAUGCGCAGAUAUCAGGAGGAACACCGGUGGCGAAGGCAGGUCUCUGGGCCACUACUGACGCUGAGAAGCGAAAGCAUGGGGAGCAAACAGG